CCCAGACUCCUACGGGAGGCAGCAGUGGGGAAUAUUGGACAAUGGGGGGAACCCUGAUCCAGCGACGCCGCGUGAGUGAAGAAGUAUUUCGGUAUGUAAAGCUCUAUCAGCAGGGAAGAAGUUGACGGUACCUGAGUAAGAAGCCCCGGCUAACUACGUGCCAGCAGCCGCGGUAAUACGUAGGGGGCAAGCGUUAUCCGGAAUGACUGGGCGUAAAGGGUGCGUAGGUGGUUUGGCAAGUUAGUAGCGUAACUCCAAGGCUCAACCUUGGAACUACUACUAAAACUGUUGGACUUGAGUGCAGGAGGGGCAACCGGAAUUCCUAGUGUAGCGGUGGAAUGCGUAGAUAUUAGGAGGAACACCAGUGGCGAAGGCGGGUUGCUAGACUGUAACUGACACUGAGGCACGAAAGCGUGGGGAGCAAACAGGAUUAGAUACCCGCGUAA
RNAcentral lists this ribosomal RNA (446 nucleotides) under uncultured bacterium. Its description in RNAcentral is "bacterial SSU rRNA". It matches the Rfam family "Bacterial small subunit ribosomal RNA", at positions 330 to 793 of the family's 1533-position model. The record is from RNAcentral.